AUGCAGUCGAACGGCAGCACGGGAGCAAUCCUGGUGGCGAGUGGCGAACGGGUGAGUAAUAUAUCGGAACGUGCCCAGUCGUGGGGGAUAACGUAGAGAAAUUUACGCUAAUACCGCAUACGAUCUAAGGAUGAAAGCGGGGGACCGUAAGGCCUCGCGCGAUUGGAGCGGCUGAUAUCAGAUUAGGUUGUUGGUGAGGUAAAAGCUCACCAAGCCGACGAUCUGUAGCUGGUUUGAGAGAACGACCAGCCACACUGGGACUGAGACACGGCCCAGACUCCUACGGGAGGCAGCAGUGGGGAAUUUUGGACAAUGGGCGAAAGCCUGAUCCAGCAAUGCCGCGUGCAGGAAGAAGGCCUUCGGGUUGUAAACUGCUUUUGUACGGAACGAAAAGGUCUGCCCUAAUACGGCGGGCCCAUGACGGUACCGUAAGAAUAAGCACCGGCUAACUACGUGCCAGCAGCCGCGGUAAUACGUAGGGUGCGAGCGUUAAUCGGAAUUACUGGGCGUAAAGCGUGCGCAGGCGGUGAUGUAAGACAGUUGUGAAAUCCCCGGGCUCAACCUGGGAAUUGCAUCUGUGACUGCAUCGCUAGAGUACGGUAGAGGGGGAUGGAAUUCCGCGUGUAGCAGUGAAAUGCGUAGAUAUGCGGAGGAACACCGAUGGCGAAGGCAAUCCCCUGGACCUGUACUGACGCUCAUGCACGAAAGC
This 709-nucleotide ribosomal RNA is filed under the name uncultured bacterium. RNAcentral describes it as "bacterial SSU rRNA". It matches the Rfam family "Bacterial small subunit ribosomal RNA", at positions 55 to 760 of the family's 1533-position model. The record is from RNAcentral.